AAUUCUCAAUCUCUACACACUUGUGUUGUUAGUGGAUUGGAGGUGGGGGUUUUGUGGGCGUACUUUGUAUACCCACUCCUCUGAAAACCAUUAGCUGGAAUGCCUUUGCAAAACCAACUAUCAGUAUGAUAAUUAUCUACGCUGGUGUUGUUGUGAAGGGAAUCUGCUUUCAAACCGUCUUUAUGACAAUUUGAAUCC
Molecule: unclassified non-coding RNA, 198 nt
Filed under: Conocybe semiglobata
Lineage: Eukaryota; Fungi; Basidiomycota; Agaricomycetes; Agaricales; Bolbitiaceae
Description: partial internal transcribed spacer 2
Source: RNAcentral